UCGAUCCUGGCUCAGAAUGAACGCUGGCGGCGUCGGUUAAGACAUGCAAGUCGAACGGUUUUCAUCAAAGGGCAACCUAAGAUGAAAGCAGUGGCGAACGGGUGCGUAACAACGUGAACAAUCUACCUCCAAGUGGGGAAUAGCUCGUCGAAAGGCGAAUUAAUACCGCAUGUGGUCGGGGCUCGCAUGAGUCCUGAACCAAAGUCAGGGACCGCAAGGCCUGACGCUAGGAGAGGAGUUCGCGGCCUAUCAGCUAGUUGGCGAGGUAACGGCUCACCAAGGCCUAAGACGGGUAGCUGGUCUGAGAGGAUGAUCAGCCACACUGGAACUGAGACACGGUCCAGACACCUACGGGUGCAGCAGUUUCGAAUCAUUCACAAUGGGCGAAAGCCUGAUGGUGCGACGCCGCGUGACGGGAUGAAGGUCUUCGGAUUGUAAACCUCUGUCACUGGGAA
This 455-nucleotide ribosomal RNA is filed under the name uncultured bacterium. RNAcentral describes it as "bacterial SSU rRNA". It matches the Rfam family "Bacterial small subunit ribosomal RNA", at positions 13 to 445 of the family's 1533-position model. The record is from RNAcentral.